Molecule: non-coding RNA, 1494 nt
Organism: Oryctolagus cuniculus (rabbit)
Lineage: Eukaryota; Metazoa; Chordata; Mammalia; Lagomorpha; Leporidae
Source: RefSeq, a predicted model, not a curated record
UUCCCCCUCGCCAUUUUCUCCGCGAGGCCCGGCUUUUCUGUCCUUCGGCCAGGGGUUGCGCGGUCACCUAACGGCCGUGCGGGGCUCCAGCCCCGAUCCCUGGAUCCCUGGACAGGACGGCAGCGGCGGACGCCGGCGGGAAGGGCGGGCCCGCGGCCGUGCGCCAGGGAGUUGAAGCAUCCUGGAUGCAAGAAUGCAGAAAAGCAUGUGAAGAUCAACUAGUACUAGGUGAAAGAAUUUAAUAUAAAGUUUGCAGAGGACUGGUGAGGAGGGAUGUGGCUGAUGUUGUGUCUCCUCCUGUGUGGUUCAAGUUUCCGAUGGUGUGGGAAACUCCAGCUCCUCUGAUUGCCAGGACUCCACACUGCAGACUUCUGAGCAGCUGAAGAUGUCUGCAAGAAAGACACAGGAGCAGGGUAUAUUUUGGCAUGGAACAUGUGAUGGAAGACUUUCUUUUGAAGACAUACAGCCAAUGCGUAUUUGUAAUUGAAGUAUAAAUUAGAGCACAAAUGAGAAGAACAGAGGGGCUUGGGGCCCUGCUCCUGCUACUCUUCAAAGUGAGCUUUGCCUUGAAUUGCUGGUAAGUGUUUGAAUUUUUUUUUUUUUUUUGACAGGCAGAGAGAAAGGGGCAGAGAGAAAGGUCUUCCUUUUCCGUUGGUUCACCCCUCAAUGGCUGCUGUGGCUGGUGUGCUACGGCUGGCGCACAGCACUGAUCUGAAGCCAGGAGCCAGGUUCUUCCUCCUGGUCUCCCCCAUGCGGGUGCAGGGCCCAAGGACCUGGGCCAUCCUCCACUGCACUCCUGGGCCACAGCAGAGAGCUAGACUGGAAGAGGAGCAACCGGGACAGAAUCAGGUGCUCCGACUGGGACUAGAACCCGGUGUGCCGGCACUGCAGGCGGAGGAUUAGCAUAUUGAGCCAUGGCACUGGCCCAAAUGUUUGAAUUUGACAGGUACAUAGGAAAUUUUACACCCAGAAAAAUAAAGCAAUCAACAUAUAAAAAAGGCUCUAAGAAAGGAGGCUGAGGUCCCCAAAAGGCCUGGAGCUCUUGUGUUCUGUGCUGGCUCCUAUUUGGUGUCAGGAUGGGCUGGGAACCCACAAGGAUACAAAGGUGAGUGCAGUGGGCUCUCUUCCUGGUGUGAAAAGACACCCAAAGGCACCUCUCUCUGUCUCACCCUCUUCCUAAUCGUCCUGAGUUUGAAGAGGUCAGGGACGACCCACAGUGUCUCCCCACACCUGUGAAGCUGCCUGUUGACUUUGGGAUGGGCAGGUGGGGAUGCACCCUGUAGUGGGAGAUGUUCAACAGCUCUGGGGGCUCUCCCCAGAAACAACACAAUUAACAUCCCCCUCCGAAGUCAUUUGCAUGCCAAUCCUGCUAGCAACUCCAGCCUUUCCUUCAGAUGAAAGCAGCUACUGGGGGCUCAGCCUGGGAGCCCUAGGGGCUGCCAUGGAAUGGGGAUGUGUCCCUGGGACCACCUCAGGGUGCAUCUUUCACUCACC